AAAUUACUAAUAUUUUUUUAUGAAAAGAAAAUUAUUCAAUCAUUUUCUUAAUUACCGUGAAAACUUCAAAUAUGAUUAUUAUUUGUGGACGAAGUAAGUAAUAGAUUGAAAUAUAUAGUUCAAGGAAAAAAAAUUUGUUCAAUUUGCAUAUAGGUAUGAUAUAGAAAAUAAAAUUGAAAAAGAAAAGAAAUUUUGAAAAAAAUAUAUGAAGUUAAAAUAAAUUAAACAUAAUCUUAAAAUUUCAUCCAAAUACACGCGUUAAAUUCAUUGUCAAUACAACUUCGAUUUGAUAUUUUAGACUUAGAAUUUGAAUAAGCUAAAACGAAUUGGUUUAGUUUAAAAGCACAGUGUUAUAACUUUUUUUUUAUUGCUCAUUCAAUAUUGUUUUACAAGUUGCAGCACAUAAUUUUUAAUAAUUUUAUAUUAUAAAUUUAUUUUUCAAAAUUAUUGACUUUUUAAAGAAAAAUUUAUCAAUACAUAACACAGUCAUGUUGAAACUUUAUUUUUCAAGAUAAAUUGUGAAUGAAAAAAA
This 532-nucleotide unclassified non-coding RNA is filed under the name Hevea brasiliensis (rubber tree). The record is from RNAcentral. Lineage: Eukaryota; Viridiplantae; Streptophyta; Magnoliopsida; Malpighiales; Euphorbiaceae.